Bufo bufo (common toad) is the source of this 192-nucleotide long non-coding RNA. RefSeq lists it as uncharacterized. The record is from RefSeq and is a predicted model, not a curated record. The transcript is spliced from 3 exons. Lineage: Eukaryota; Metazoa; Chordata; Amphibia; Anura; Bufonidae.
UGUCGUCCUAUAGACCAGUGGUCCUCAACUCCAGUCCUCAGGGCCCACCUACCAGUCAUGUUUUUAGGAUUUCCUUAGUAUUGGGCAGCUGAUAUAAUUAGUGUCCAUCCAUCAGGAUUUACCACAGGUAUUCAUUCUGUGGGAUACUCCUAAAUCCUGACCGGCAAGUGGGCCCUGAGGGCUGGAGUUGGA